RNAcentral lists this ribosomal RNA (253 nucleotides) under uncultured bacterium. RNAcentral describes it as "partial 16S ribosomal RNA". It matches the Rfam family "Bacterial small subunit ribosomal RNA", at positions 524 to 776 of the family's 1533-position model. The record is from RNAcentral.
UACGUAGGGCGCAAGCGUUGUCCGGAACUAUUGGGCGUAAAGAGCUCGUAGGCGGCCUGUUGCGUCCGCUGUGAAAUCCCGGGGCUCAACCCCGGGCCUGCAGUGGAUACGGGCUGGCUAGAGGCAGGCAGGGGAGAACGGAAUUCCUGGUGUAGCGGUGAAAUGCGCAGAUAUCGGGAGGAACACCGGUGGCGAAGGCGGUUCUCUGGGCCUGUACUGACGCUGAGGAGCGAAAGCGUGGGGAGCGAACAGG